AUUUAAAUAGCUUAUUGAUUUAGAGCAUAAUAUUGAAGAUAUUAGGGAGAUAAUAAUAAUUAUUUUUAAAUA
Molecule: transfer RNA, 72 nt
Filed under: Thaumetopoea pityocampa (pine processionary moth)
Lineage: Eukaryota; Metazoa; Arthropoda; Insecta; Lepidoptera; Notodontidae
Description: tRNA-Phe
Source: RNAcentral